This 488-nucleotide ribosomal RNA is filed under the name uncultured bacterium. Its description in RNAcentral is "bacterial SSU rRNA". It matches the Rfam family "Bacterial small subunit ribosomal RNA", at positions 29 to 507 of the family's 1533-position model. The record is from RNAcentral.
AUGAACGCUAGCGGCAGGCCUAACACAUGCAAGUCGAGGGGCAGCGAGGAGUAGCAAUACUCUGUCGGCGACCGGCGCACGGGUGCGUAACGCGUAUGCGACCUACCUAUAACAGGGAGAUAACCCAGAGAAAUUUGGACUAAUAUCCCAUAUUAUUAUUGAGCUGCAUGGUUUGAUAAUGAAAGACGCGAGUUGGUUAUAGAUGGGCAUGCGUGACAUUAGCUAGUUGGUAAGGUAACGGCUUACCAAGGCGACGAUGUCUAGGGGAACUGAGAGGUUAAUCCCCCCACACUGGUACUGAGACACGGACCAGACUCCUACGGGAGGCAGCAGUGAGGAAUAUUGGUCAAUGGUCGGAAGACUGAACCAGCCAUGCCGCGUGAAGGAAGAAUGUCCUAUGGAUUGUAAACUUCUUUUGUAAGGGAGCAAUAAGUUCCAUGCGUGGGAUGAUGAGAGUACCUUACGAAUAAGCAUCGGCUAACUCCGUG